This is a long non-coding RNA of Vicia villosa (hairy vetch), 583 nucleotides long. RefSeq lists it as uncharacterized. The transcript has 2 exons. The record is from RefSeq and is a predicted model, not a curated record. Lineage: Eukaryota; Viridiplantae; Streptophyta; Magnoliopsida; Fabales; Fabaceae.
GAGAAAAAGAAGCUUAGGGCACGAGAAAGAGCAAGAGAAGGCUUAAGAGAGAAAAAUUCAAGAAAUCAAUAAACUUUUGUUAGAAAUUCAGGCAAGUCACGAGUCUCAGUGAAGGGGCUAGUGGAUGUUCCAUGCUCGGUGUGGGGUUCAAGGGUUCAGAAGAUGGAACCCAUUUCUUGAUAAGAAUCAUUGUUGAGAUCGGUACUGCAUGCAAAUGAGUCGUUGAUGUGUUGUGAGUCGCAUUGCAUAAAUAAAGGCAUAUGAUUGUGAUGUGGGUGAAUUAUGAAUACUUGUUCUUGUGGCGCAUGAUUGACAUAUGUGUGAGCACCAUUUAUUAUUUUAAUGUAUUCUCACCCCUUUUGUUAUUGUUGUGGUAUGUGCUUCUCUUUGGGGUACAGAUAAGCAAGCAACUGAGUAGUUGCUUAUAACAGAAGGAUGACACAAUAUUAUUCUUCUUCAUUUUAGUUUUGUGUCUUUAGAUUACGUGCUCUGGUCUGUAACACUGGACGGGACGAACAAUGUUUUUCAUUUCAGUUUAUGUUAAUUAGGGAGUUGAAUGUUAUUCCCUCGAUGGUUGAUUGCU